CUACGGGAGGCUGCAGUGGGGAAUAUUGCACAAUGGGCGAAAGCCUGAUGCAGCAACGCCGCGUGAGGGACGACGGCCUUCGGGUUGUAAACCUCUUUUAGCAGGGAAGAAGCGAAAGUGACGGUACCUGCAGAAAAAGCACCGGCUAACUACGUGCCAGCAGCCGCGGUAAUACGUAGGGUGCAAGCGUUGUCCGGAAUUAUUGGGCGUAAAGAGCUCGGAGGCGGUUUGUCGCGUCUGCUGUGAAAAUCCGAGGCUCAACCUCGGACCUGCAGUGGGUACGGGCAAACUAGAGUGCGGUAGGGGAGAUUGGAAUUCCCGGUGUAGCGGUGGAAUGCGCAGAUAUCAGGAGGAACACCAAUGGCGAAGGCAGAUCUCUGGGCCGUAACUGACGCUGAGGAGCGAAAGCGUGGGGAGCGAACAGGAUUAGAUACCCUAGUAGUC
Molecule: ribosomal RNA, 444 nt
Filed under: uncultured bacterium
Lineage: Bacteria
Description: partial 16S ribosomal RNA
Rfam family: Bacterial small subunit ribosomal RNA
Source: RNAcentral